AUUUAAAUAGUUUAAAAAAAACAUUGAUUUGUGAUAUCAAAAUUAUAUAAUUAUUUUAAAUU
RNAcentral lists this transfer RNA (62 nucleotides) under Microctonus brassicae. Lineage: Eukaryota; Metazoa; Arthropoda; Insecta; Hymenoptera; Braconidae. The record is from RNAcentral.